UUUGCAUCGUGUCAGAGUUCUGCUCUUCUUCUUCUUCUUCACCUUCAGACUUUUAGCAGUUUAGAUUUUACAUUUCUACAUUUUUGGACUUUCGUACCUGAAACUUUCUCCAACAACACUUUGGUAUCUCUCCUGCUGCUGACUCUAGAACUCAUCUCUCUCCUGUCAUUCAGAUUCUGUUUCAGCUUCAAAGACGAAAACACAGAAGAUCAACAUGAAGAUCUCUAUAUUUGCUGGUGUUCUGCUGCUCAGUGCUGCCGUGCUCUCUGUGGAUGGACAAGAAACUCCAGCUCAAAAGUUUAACAGACAACAUAUCAAGAAGAAAAUGAAUCGUAACCGCUGUGACGCCGUGCUGAAUAGGAAACACAUCAGAAAAACCGACAAUUGGUGUAAGGGGAGAAACACCUUCAUCAGUGCGACUUAUGGCGUUGUCCAAAGGGUCUGUUGGGAUAUUAAAAGAGGAGAGUCGUAUCCAAGAAAUCAAAAUCAAAAUCAAAACCAAAACCAAAACCAAAAUAAAAAUCAAAAUCAAAAUCAAAAUCUGAGAAUCAGCCUUCGUGGGUUCAAAAUUGUUAAUUGCGAUUGCAAUAUCAACCAGAAGAACCACUGUGACUGCCGUGGCUCUAGUGACAUCAGGAGAAUUGUAAUCGGUUGUGAAAAUGGUGUUCCUGUUCACUAUGAAAAAGGUGAGGUAAUUCCCAAUGGAUUAAUGAAUUAGAGUAAUCUGUUACUACCUGAUGAACCAGAGUAACCUAUUACUACCUGAUGUAUCAGAGUAAUCUGUCAGUACCUGAUGUAUCAGAGUAAUCUAUUACUACCUGAUGAACCAGUAAUCUGUUACAACCUGAUGUAUCAGAGUAAUCUAUUACUACCUGAUGAACCAGUAAUCUGUUACAACCUGAUGUAUAAUAGUAAUCUGUUACUACUUGAUCAAUAAAAGACAUGUUGACAGUUUA
Molecule: long non-coding RNA, 956 nt
Organism: Perca fluviatilis (European perch)
Lineage: Eukaryota; Metazoa; Chordata; Actinopteri; Perciformes; Percidae
Exons: 4
Source: RefSeq, a predicted model, not a curated record